Molecule: transfer RNA, 87 nt
Filed under: Deltaproteobacteria bacterium GWA2_38_16
Lineage: Bacteria; Deltaproteobacteria
Also listed under: 4 other names
Description: tRNA-Ser
Rfam family: tRNA
About the family: Transfer RNA (tRNA) molecules are approximately 80 nucleotides in length. Their secondary structure includes four short double-helical elements and three loops (D, anti-codon, and T loops).
Source: RNAcentral
GGAGGGGUGGCAGAGCGGUUGAACGCGGCGGUCUUGAAAACCGUUAGGCUCGAAAGGGCCUCGGGAGUUCAAAUCUCCCCCCCUCCG